This 354-nucleotide long non-coding RNA is filed under the name Phoenix dactylifera (date palm). Its description in RNAcentral is "long non-coding RNA (PDAC_LNC009995)". Lineage: Eukaryota; Viridiplantae; Streptophyta; Magnoliopsida; Arecales; Arecaceae. The record is from RNAcentral.
UAUUGAUACCAUGAUUCAAAAUGCCACAAAGCUUUUAACUUAAACUUAUAAAUCAUAAGAUGAGAGCAGAUAAUGCAUGGUUUAUUCAGAUACUUAACAAAUUAGACCAUAUUUGGUCAACAAUCAACUAACCCGAGUCAUGAUACGCUCAAUUAUUAUUAUUAUUAUUUUCUUAGCAUACCCAAAAAUAGCAAAUUCUAUCCAAGAGAUAACAUAAUCAUAUCAUGAUUGACCUGAGAAUCAAUAGUAUACACCUUCCCUUAUUAACAAAAUCUUUCAUUAUUGAACAACAUAGUCUUUCAUAAUAACAUGUUACCAAAACAUAGUCAAUAUUUUUGACCAGUUUAAAUUGAC